UUUUUUUUUUUUUUUUGAGACAGAGUCUUGCUCUGUCACCCAGGCUGGAGUACAGUGGUGCAAUUUCAGCUCACUGCAAGCUCCACCUCCCGGAUUCACGCCAUUCUCCUGCCUCAGCCUCCCGAGUGGCUGGGACUACAGGCGCCCACUAAUUUUUUGUAUCUUUAGUAGAGAUGGUAUUUCAUCGUGUUAGCCAGGAUGGUCUCGAUCUCAUGACCUCAUGAUCCACCCACCUCAGCCCCCCGGAGUGCUGUAUGAUUACCGGUAUGAGCCACUGAGCCUGGUCUCCCAUGGGGAGAAUUCUAAUCAUGAAAGCAGCCAUUUAAAAAAGAUGAAAAUAUUUAAGCUACCUACUUUCUGUCUUACCUUUUAAGCUUUUAAGUGUCUAGAGCAGGGCUUCUCAGCCUAGGCACUGUUGACAUUUGGGGCUGGAUAAUUCCUUGUUGUGUGGGGGGAUGCCCUGUGGACUGCGUGAUGUUUAGCAGCUUCCCUGGGCUCUAUUCACUAGAUGCCAGUGGCACCCUCUUCCAGUCUUAAUAAUCCCAAAUCUCUCCAGUCAUUGCCGAAAUGUCCUUUGGGAGACAAAACUGCCCCUGAGAACCACUAGUCUGAGCCAUUUUGAAAUAGAUGAAUGAACUACAGACAUAAGUUCUCUAAAAUGUGCCUCAAAUGUGAGAUGGUAUGCUCUCACCAAGGAUUUCACUUACACCACAAAUAGCAUUUUAUAAGAAGUAAACUGAAACCCAUAGCCUAACAAGAACAGUGAGAUGCUUGGCACUAACAAGUUAUGGUGAGCAAAAUAGUCCAAACUUGUUCACAUAUGCAAACUCAACAUUUAAUUUUCUGCAAGAUUACCCACAAUAAUUACAAAGUUUCUAUAAUACAGCCUUAAAAGCUUGGAACUAUGAGAUCCAUAAGAAUUGAUCCUUUAUCUUUUACCUUUACUGCGUACGGUGUCUGUGCAACAUAGCAAAUGAAUGUAGGCAAUAUUUUCCUCUAAUUUCUAGGAGUACUAAAGUGAAACUUUCCUAAAAUUAAAUUGAUUAUUAAAUAAUCUAAUGGAGGGAAAUACAGAGUCAACUCGAAUGUACAAACAACACUAAGGUAAACCAAAGACCAUUUUGCUUAUAAGCAUGUAUCCUUCAACUGAACAUAGCUCUUGCACAUAUGAUAACUAAUAGCUUGACACUCUAAAAGUAAUGUUGAAAUAUGAGUUGCUAGCAGUUAAUGAUGGUUUGAGGACAAAGAGUUGACAUCUAUAUGACACCAGUUUGUUUAGUCUGCCAGUAACAUACAGUAUUUUUGGGGCAUUAGUAAUAGCUUGAAUAAACUGUCUGCGUAGAUUCUAUGGUCAAAUGCUGGCUAAUGCCAUAUCAACUUGAAGAUUUCAGAGCCAUUAUCAU
Molecule: long non-coding RNA, 1403 nt
Filed under: Macaca fascicularis (crab-eating macaque)
Lineage: Eukaryota; Metazoa; Chordata; Mammalia; Primates; Cercopithecidae
Description: lncRNA (ENSMFAG00000062817.1)
Source: RNAcentral